This 1480-nucleotide long non-coding RNA is filed under the name Populus trichocarpa (black cottonwood). RNAcentral describes it as "long non-coding RNA (PTRI_LNC001338)". The record is from RNAcentral. Lineage: Eukaryota; Viridiplantae; Streptophyta; Magnoliopsida; Malpighiales; Salicaceae.
GGAGCCCUUUUGACAUGACUUUUUUGUUUAAACUAUACUUGAUAGUUUAGAUAGAGGAAUCAGUGAAAAAUAGUCUUUACAGGAGAUUCAGUGCAUGCAUUAGAUUUGCAUCCUGAUUCUUUAUGUCGAGGAAUUCAAUGUUUACCUCAUAUUGCAAGGCUCAACAAUGCUUGACUCAGGCAGGCUUAUUCAAAUCUUCCAAGGGAUGAUCAUCGAAAAACUAAUUUAGAUUUGCAUCAUAGCUCAGCAAGAGUAAUGAAUAUAGAUUUAUGAUCUGCUAUUAAAACACAACAAAUGAUCUAUUACAUGAUAUUUUGAACCAUCUAUUCUAUCCAUUCAAAUGUUGAAAACUUUACAGUAGACACGGUUUACAAGUAUGCAUUGAGGAUAUUGCAUGUAUAUUCAUGAGAAUCUAUGAUAUUUAUAGAUAAUUAAAAAAAUUAAGAAAGGAUUUCAUUAAACAUAAAUCUGAAAAUAUUACUCAUAAAGGUUCUAAUACAUUAAUUCCAAAAUAAAUUAAAAAGUUGAACAAAUUAAAUUAAGAUUACAUGACCCAUGAGUCAUGACUAAUUAAAGGAUACGGACAAAAACUUGAAGCUCAAUUUAACAUUAAUUUGAAAAAACUAAUCACAAAAACUUAUUAAAAAUCCUGUACAGAAUAAAUAAAUAAUUUCUCAAACUCAGGAUUAGGCAUGCACCAAUCUAACAGAUUACAACUACAGAAUAUGCAACAUAAUCUUGCUAAUUCUAAGUUUCUUAAAAAAUAUUGGGGGGAAAAUGUAAAGAUGUUGAGAUUUCUUACCUUCAUCUUCAAAUAAACAGUUGGUUCUUAUUAGUAGAAGCAAAAUUUGAAGAUUGAAGCUUGAUCUAGUUGAAAAUACUUAAAAGAAAUGAGUGUGUGUGUGUGGAAAUGUGAAUGGUUGAAGAUGAUUGUCAGUCACCAAAAGAAAAAAAUUGGACAAAAAACUAGGUUUUUAUAGCAUAACAGCUGAUAUCAUUAUGUAACACAGCAAAAGAGUUGUAAUGGAGUGAAAUGAAAAAUAAGCGGAGCUGGCCAAAAAACCACUUGUGAAAACCGUAACAGUUUUUCAUGACAUUUAGAAUUUAUUUGGUUAGUGUCAUAGAACAAAAAAGAUAGAAACAGAAGGGACAAAAAAAAAUUGGUUGGAGGGACAAAGAUGGACAUAUAAUAAAUGUCUCUAUGAUAAUUUUGGAGUGAAUUUAUGUCCUUUUAAAACUGGAGGUACAUGGAAAAAUGCCCCCUCUCCACUGUUCUCUCCAUUGUCUUCAUCAUAACCAAAUGCUACCUUAGAGAUGACAAUUUAACCCAAACCUCAUAAAUAAAAACUUGAACUGAUCCGAGUGGGUGGGUUUGUUUUGGAUAGUUUUUUUUAGUCAAUAGGUAAUGAAUAAGAUAUGAAUAUUGUCAAAUCCAACCCGAAACCUAAUCCAAGUCCGAUCCAAAAUAUAUACAUUAAUA